RNAcentral lists this ribosomal RNA (526 nucleotides) under uncultured Ilumatobacter sp. Its description in RNAcentral is "bacterial SSU rRNA". It matches the Rfam family "Bacterial small subunit ribosomal RNA", at positions 377 to 917 of the family's 1533-position model. The record is from RNAcentral. Lineage: Bacteria; Bacillati; Actinomycetota; Acidimicrobiia; Acidimicrobiales; Ilumatobacteraceae.
GGGCAGCUGAUGCAGCACGCCGCGUGCGGGAAGACAGCCCUAGGGUUGUAAACCGCUUUCAGUAGGGAAGAAAAUGACGGUACCUACAGAAGAAGGUGCGGCCAACUACGUGCCAGCAGCCGCGGUGACACGUAGGCACCAAGCGUUAUCCGGAUUUAUUGGGCGUAAAGAGCUCGUAGGCGGUUUGGUAAGUCGGGUGUGAAAACUCAGGGCUUAACCCUGAGACGCCACCCGAUACUGCCAUGACUUGAGUACGGUAGGGGAGCGGGGAACUCCUGGUGUAGCGGUGAAAUGCGCAGAUAUCAGGAAGAACACCGGUGGCGAAGGCGCCGCUCUGGGCCGUAACUGACGCUGAGGAGCGAAAGCGUGGGUAGCAAACAGGAUUAGAUACCCUGGUAGUCCACGCCGUAAACGUUGGGCACUAGGUGUGGGUCUCAACUAACGAGAUCCGCGCCGUAGCUAACGCAUUAAGUGCCCCGCCUGGGGAGUACGGUCGCAAGACUAAAACUCAGAGGAAAUUGACGGA